RNAcentral lists this ribosomal RNA (411 nucleotides) under uncultured Chloroflexota bacterium. RNAcentral describes it as "bacterial SSU rRNA". It matches the Rfam family "Bacterial small subunit ribosomal RNA", at positions 958 to 1385 of the family's 1533-position model. The record is from RNAcentral. Lineage: Bacteria; Bacillati; Chloroflexota.
AACGCGAAGAACCUUACCAGGGUUUGACAUGUAUGUGGCAUCCUCAGAGAUGAGGCUCCCUUCGGGGCACAUGCACAGGUGCUGCAUGGCUGUCGUCAGCUCGUGCCGUGAGGUGUUGGGUUAAGUCCCAUAACGAGCGCAACCCUUACUGGUAGUUGAAUAUCUCUACCAGGACUGCCGCAAAACAGCGGAGGAAGGUGGGGAUGACGUCAAGUCAGCACGGCCCUUACAUCCUGGGCGACACACACGCUACAAUGGCCGGUACAACGAGUUGCCAACCCGCGAGGGGGAGCUAAUCUUUGCAAAACCGGUCUCAGUUCAGAUUGUAGGCUGCAACCCGCCUGCAUGAAGUUGGAGUUGCUAGUAACCGUCGGUCAGCAUACGACGGUGAAUACGUUCCCGGGCCUUGUA